GGUACACCCAAUCCAGUUAUAACAUCAGACACCAUUCAGGAGGCCUGGGGUAAGCAGUCCUUGCUCCCCAAGGGGUAGAGAGCAGAUCUCCAUUGGAGCCCACAGCAGCCCAGCUCAGUUACUAUAAACCCGCAGGCAGCACCUCACAGAGCAAGAAUGGAUUUCCUGUCUGUUCCUCCAAUCCUCCUGGAGCCCCACGGAGCUCAGCCACCACCUCGAGGCUCCAGAUAGGCAUC
Molecule: long non-coding RNA, 236 nt
Organism: Lontra canadensis (Northern American river otter)
Lineage: Eukaryota; Metazoa; Chordata; Mammalia; Carnivora; Mustelidae
Exons: 3
Source: RefSeq, a predicted model, not a curated record